Non-coding RNA from Lupinus angustifolius (narrow-leaved blue lupine), 45 nucleotides. The record is from Rfam. NCBI's taxonomy places the organism in Eukaryota, Viridiplantae, Streptophyta, Magnoliopsida, Fabales, Fabaceae.
CAAUUGGUUUCUUUAGAAACCAUUAUUUAUUCAUACAACUAGACA